AUCGCCAUUCCCCCAUGCACCGGAUGAGAAACUACCAGUGCCGGAGAUGAAGGGCCCGUGUCAGAAUUUACUGGACCCCAGCUACGAUCCGUCCUUUGUGUGCAGAGUUGUGAGAAUAGCAGCUGGGAAGCCUCUUUCCCCAAAGCUCUUCCCUUAUCCACUAGUAUCCGCCCCCUGGCCUCUGCCCUGAGGACGCCAUGCAGCAGGAGACAGGAAGGCGGAACUGGGCUAAAUGAGCCGGAGCAGGGGAGACGCUGUAAUAGGAGGGGGGUCGCCCCCCACUUCCCCUGGGUGCCUCCCAGGGCUCUGCUCAAAUAUCUGGUUCUGGAGGUGCACUACAGGGAUUCUUGCUGUUGUUGCAGUUUUGAUCUUGUGUAUUCACCUUGCAGUAAAUAGCUCGUCAGGGAAAGGUUCUUCUGGCUCUCCUCCUCUGGAACCAUGCCCUGCCGACUGGCUGUACCACAAAAGGAAAUGUUACUACUUCUCUGAGAAAGAAAAGGACUGGGACUCCAGUCAGAGCUUUUGUUCUUCACACAACAGCUCCCUAACUGUAAUUGAAAACCAGCAGGAACUGAAAUUUAUAAUGAAAAUAACAAAGCAAGAUCCAUGGAUUGGACUUCACAAGACAGGAGAAGAAUUCCAUUGGGUAAACGGGACUCCAUUAGAUACAAAUCUGUUGGCAGUAAAGGGUUCUGGAGAAUGUGCCUAUAUUGAAUCAGCUGGGGUCUCCAGUUCUGGAUGCUCAUUAACCAGGGGCUGGGUCUGUAAAAAAACCUCUUAGCUCUGUGUACUCAGGCUUCACUCAGCCAAUUAAUGUAAGAUCCAGGGUUCAACUGUCACAGUUCAGGGCAACUGCACCUGUAUUUCCCCUCAGUGACCCAGCAAGGGCACCUAGUCUCAGGCUUGCUGCAUCUCUCUCCCUUCUGACUGGGGCUGCACAGUUCCCUGCCUUUACUGUGUUGUUCCCAGCACAGACAGGUUGCCCAAGGACACCUGCUUGCUUUCUCCUCCGAGACAGUUAGCAGGAAUAAUUGCUACAGUUACAAGAUACCAUACAGCACUUCCUAUGACAGCCCACUUUAUUCUUACGGUAAAAAUCAUUACAGAGAAAGCAUUAAAACAAUAAAAGACACUACACACAUGCUACUAAGCUUCCCAGAGUUCACCCUAACAUGGAUACUAGCAGGAGCAGUUCUUCCAUCCCCCCACCCAACAAAUUCCUUCUGGUUACAAGUUCAUCACAGCAUCAACUCAGAACAAGCUCACUAGGGCCAGUGCUUCCAACCCUGCCAGAAGGAUUGGGGCCUUCUGUGGACCAGAGGUCCUGUCUGUUUGCUGGAUCAGGAAGAAGGCCCUGAGCUGGUUGAAAAUCAGGCUAUUUAUCCAAAAAUCUUUUUUGUCUGUUGGUCCCUGGAGAGUCCAGUUUGAACUAGUGGAGGCGCACUUCUCCAGGUGGUGGUGUCUCUCUGGAGAUAUUACAAUCUCAGUGCAUGUGCCUAAUUACCCCCUGCUGUUCUCUUAUUUAUCCUUCCAUGGAAACACAUACAAUUCCACAGUAAUACAGACACAAUUACAUCUUAAUACAGUGGACCCCCAAAGGUAUUCACCUAUUUCAAUAAGGUCUAACUUAGUUCAAUAAAGUUCCUUCAGGAUAUUGCAGGAACUUGUCUGUUGCAUUGACAACAUUUUGAAAUCUAUACAUUCAAUGUAGCCUCAGUACAUUUACAUACAUUUCAAAGCACUAACAACUAGAUUACCAAAAUCUCUUACCAAAAACACUAACCCACAACCACCCCACCUGGGUUCAGAAAGGAAGGAGAAAGCUCUAUUAGCCAUGAACUGAGAACUCAGCCACUGGUUUGCUGUGAAUGCUGCUUGUCAGUCUCGUCUCAUAUCACUGAUUCCUUGUGCUCUCCCCUUCCCCUCAAUCUCUUUGGUGUAUCCACCUGUUGUUUCUCAUACUAUAGUGAGGGUAUGUCUACACUGCAAUCAGAAGUGUGACUGCAGCACGUGUAGACAUACCUGAGUUAGCUUUGAUCUAGCUAGCUCAAAUUACAAUAGCAAUGCAGCCACAGCAGCACGGGCUGUACAAUCCUGCUGGGGACCUUGGUUAUGCAGUUGAGCAGCUAGCCUGUACUGCCACAGCUUCAGUGCUAUUGUUACACGACCUAGUUAGAUCAAAGCUACCUCAAGUAUGUCUAUGCUUGCUGCAGUCUCACUUCUGAUUGCAGAGUCCAAUCUCCUUGGCUAGCUAUAUCAAACCUCUUUUUGUCAUGUUUGUGCAGUGCCUACCACAAUGGGGCCAUUAUCUCUAGGCAUUAUCGCAAUACAAAUAAUUAAUACUACUACUGAGAGUCACUUUCCAACCGGAGGAUGUAAUUCAAAUAAUUCCUGAGACCACAAGUUUGUAGCACAAGAUUCGGUUCAGGGGCAUCUACUAGGGUCGCUUUCCUUUCACACCGAAAGAACAUGUGCUGUGGAAACAGUCCGAAGGGCUAUUCCAGUCCAGCAGUAAAGUUUAAGGAAGGCAGGGCAAGUUCCCAUCCAACCCUGAGCUAGGUAGGAAUGGAAUCUUAGGUUUCUGAGUGAGGGCAUGUCUAUGCUACGGGUGCUACAGUGGCAGCACUCCAGCUAUGCUGUUGGAUCACCAUAAAGUAGAGGCUUCCUACAUUGACAGAAGCAGUUUUUCCAUUGACGUAAGUAAUCUGCCUCCCCAAGCAAUGGUAGCUGGGUUGAUGGAAGAAUUCUUUCCAAGCACCAGGGGUUAGGUCGGUUUACCUAUUGUGCUCAGAAGUGUGAAUUUUUCACACCCCUGAGCACUAUAGCUAGAUGGGUCUAAAUGUUAAGUGUAGAUCACGGCUCAGUAUAUGAAUCUACUAAUUUCUCUGUUGAGAGAGUUCUAAGACUAGUGAGGGAUAAACGAGAGCAAGGUGGCUGUGGAACAAUGACCACUGUGAGUGAGUUUAUAUGGCCCAGCCAAUUGAUUCUAGCUGCUGGUGAUGUUUGACUCUUAGGGUAAAAAACCAUUCCAAAUCAGCUGUCUGCAGUUGGGAAGGAUGAUGAGUUAGCAUAAGUCUAAGAAGACUGAAAGCCCUCAGCUUUCAUUUUAAAAAUAAUUUUCCUUUGACGAGCCAUGGCAAUAAAACCAACCCAGAACCCCACUGGCAGUUUGUGUGCAGCCAUCAAUGAGUGCCUGCUGGUUAGCGAAAAGAGGAUCUCUUCAUAUUCCCAUGAGUGUAAAAGUAUGCCUUGUUUUACAAAUUAUUUAUAAUAUUUACACUGCUAAUUUCCCCCCAUAAAGCUCUGUUGUUACUAUUCUCUUUGCCUUGUAUAUUUUUUUCAAUGUAUUUUUCUUUAUUUAUUUUAUUUUCUUUGUUUAUAGUUUAUAUGCUAUUUGGUUUUGUCUGUAGCACUGUAGAUAGGUUGAUCUAAAUGUUAAGUGUAGAUCACUGUCUCAGUAUAUGAAUCUACUAAUUUCUCUGUUGAGAUAGUUCUAAGACUAGUGAGGGAUAAACAAGAGCAAGGUGGCUUUCAGACAUUGAGUGAGUUUAUGUGGCCCAGCCAAUUAAUUCUAUCUGCUGGUGAUGUUUGACUCUUAGGGUAAGAAACCAUUCCAAAUCAACUGUCUGCAGUUGGGAAGGAUCAGGCAUUACCAUAAGUCUGAAAAGACUGAAAGCCCUCAGCUUUCAUUUUAAAAAUAAUUUUCCUUUGAUGAGCAAUGGCAAUAAAACCAACACAGAACCCCACUGGCAGUUUGUAUGCAGCUGAUUAGUGAAAAGAGGAUCUCUUGAUAUUCUCAUGUGUGUAAAAUUAUGCCUUUUUUUACAAAUUGUUUAUUUAUAGUAUUUACACUGCCAAUUUCCCCCCAUAAGGCUCUGUUUUUUUUUUUCAAUUUAUUUUUCUUUGUUUGUUUAUAGUUUAUUUCCUAUUUGGUUUUGUCUGUCAUAUGUAUAAUGUCGGUAGUAUGUCUUUAUAAUGACAGGACAAUAUAAAUGUCCUGGAGUUUAUGAUUUCAAUGCCUUUAGUGACUUAAAGUUAUAAAAAACAAAUUUUCAUAUAAAAAGUCUAAUAAUUUGUAGAUUUAAUAAUAAGUACAAGCAGAUUUUUUUUUUAUCUUUUGGACACACAUACCCCUCUGAAGGGAAAAGUAGUGCAGCUGUGCUGAAAGUUUUUCUGAGGAAUACCCCUACGGCAAAUAAAUAUUCCAUGUAUGUGUGAACAUGUGUUUUGUGUAAUUAAUUAAUUACAAUUCUCAUAACUUUCAGAUUAUUGGAUGAUACUAUUCUGUCAUUAUUUAUAUGUCUAAUUUAGUUGUUUCCCCAUGUGUUGCCAUGAAAAUUCAGAAACACAUCUAACUCUUAAAGUAUUAAAAUGUAUUACAAAACAUAUAUUUACGGUAACAUAAUUAUGGGGCAUAGUAGAAUUUACUUCUGCUUAUUCAUGUGGCAGAGUUUUCAAAAUAUUGGCAUUUACCACCGUACUUUUAGAAACUUAGUAAAGUAUGUACAUGUCAAAAAGGUUAUUCAUCCACUGUGUUUCAUGUCUUAAAGUCUCAUGAUAAGCAGAUUGAACUGAAUAGUUCUUAACAAUAGGACAAUGUACAUUGUUAUGCUUUCUCAUAAUUAAUUAAGCUUUCCAAAAAAUUCAGCUCUGGGCAGAGAUCAAGCAUGGACAAUUUCAGCUGUUAAAGGGGAAUGUUUGGAAAAGUUCUAAGAACAGGUUUCAAACAAGAUUGAACAAGACCAGCAGGAAAAAAGGGCAGGAUACAGAGCCCAUCCCUAGCUGCAACCUGCAGUUCUCUUUUCAGCUGAGCAGCUACUAGUCUUGGAAUGACCUUUUGACAUCUGCUGCCACCUCAUAUAUCCUUACAAACAAUAAAUCUGCUUCACACCAUGAUGAUGGUGAAAUAAAAAAGCACCUUCAACUGCAAUGACUUUCGGUGGGAGCUGAGGACACACAGCAACUUGCACAAAGUACUCAGCACCACGUUAGACCGGGCCAUACAUAAGGGCAACUCUGCUCUGGUGUCCCAGAAGAGUGACUCGUCAUGCGAACUUCAAGGACAGAAAAACAGGCUAUUUCCUUGGUGAUCAAAGAGUCUUUCAUGCCUCAUCUUACAAGCCUUAAUCAACUGAACAAGGAGCACACAUAUGAGAAUGCAAGAUGGGGUUCAUGGACUGCGAGACACAAGGUACUUUCAGUCCCUAAUAAACCCCUUUCCCUUUGUACACGCAGAUCUCUUCAGCCUCUAAAGCUGAGCCCCCAAUUCCCAUGUGUUCAAGAAUCUUGAUCAGGUGGCAAGGACACUGGUGCUUCAUCCCCCCAGGAGCCUGGAGAUGUCUGCUAGCAACCGAGCAUCUCAUUGGGGCACCUCCUCGCCAUGCGUCCAUUCCAUUGCCAUAGGGAGAUAGACCAUCAACCCAUGACGGUGUUUAUAUCCAACUUCAGUUCCGUUUUCAGGGCUCUGCUCAAAUAUCUGGUUCUGGAGGUGCACUACAGGGAUUCUUGCUGUUGUUGCAGUUUUGAUCUUGUGUAUUCACCUUGCGGUAAAUAGCUCAUCAGGGAAAGGUUCUUCUGGCUCUCCUCC
This is a non-coding RNA of Chrysemys picta bellii (western painted turtle), 5587 nucleotides long. NCBI's taxonomy places the organism in Eukaryota, Metazoa, Chordata, Testudines, Emydidae. The record is from RefSeq and is a predicted model, not a curated record.